Molecule: ribosomal RNA, 497 nt
Filed under: uncultured bacterium
Lineage: Bacteria
Description: partial 16S ribosomal RNA
Rfam family: Bacterial small subunit ribosomal RNA
Source: RNAcentral
GAUGAACGCUGGCGGCGUGCCUAAUACAUGCCAGUCGAGCGAACAGACGAGGAGCUUGCUCCUCUGACGUUAGCGGCGGACGGGUGAGUAACACGUGGAUAACCUACCUAUAAGACUGGGAUAACUUCGGGAAACCGGAGCUAAUACCGGAUAAUAUAUUGAACCGCAUGGUUCAAUAGUGAAAGACGGGUUUGCUGUCACUUAUAGAUGGAUCAGCGCCGCAUUAGCUAGUUGGUAAGGUAACGGCUUACCAAGGCAACGAUGCGUAGCCGACCUGAGAGGGUGAUCGGCCACACUGGAACUGAGACACGGUCCAGACUCCUACGGGAGGCAGCAGUAGGGAAUCUUCCGCAAUGGGCGAAAGCCUGACGGAGCAACGCCGCGUGAGUGAUGAAGGUCUUCGGAUCGUAAAACUCUGUUAUUAGGGAAGAACAAAUGUGUAAGUAACUAUGCACGUCUUGACGGUACCUAAUCAGAAAGCCACGGCUAACUACGUG